CGCCUCUUGACAAAUCAUAAGAGGUCCUGCCUGCCCAGUGAUAAAUUCAACGGCCGCGGUACCCUAACCGUGCAAAGGUAGCAUAAUCACUUGUUCUUUAAAUAGGGACUAGUAUCAACGGCAUCACGAGGGUUGCACUGUCUCCCCUCUCUAAUCAGUGAAACUGAUCUCCCUAUGAAAAAGUAGGGAUAACACUAUAAGACGAAAAGACCCCAUGGAGCUUUAAACCCAACAGCAACUUAGCAAAGCUACAAAACUAUGCUAGCGGUUUUAGGUUGGGGUGACCGCGGAGUAAAAACUAACCUCCACAACGAAAAGAUUUAAAUCUUUACCCAAGAACUACUAUUCUAAGAAUUAGAAAACUAACGGACUAUGACCCGAUAUCGAUCAAUGAACCAAGUUACCCUGGGGAUAACAGCGCAAUCUACUUCAAGAGUCCAUAUCGACAAGUAGGCUUACGACCUCGAUGUUGGAUCAGGGUAUCCUAGUGGUGCAGCCGCUACUGAAGGUUCGUUUGUUCAACGAUUAAAACCCU
This 535-nucleotide ribosomal RNA is filed under the name Raorchestes beddomii (Beddome's bubble-nest frog). Its description in RNAcentral is "partial 16S ribosomal RNA". It matches the Rfam family "Bacterial large subunit ribosomal RNA", at positions 1829 to 2597 of the family's 2925-position model. Lineage: Eukaryota; Metazoa; Chordata; Amphibia; Anura; Rhacophoridae. The record is from RNAcentral.